This 793-nucleotide ribosomal RNA is filed under the name uncultured bacterium. RNAcentral describes it as "bacterial SSU rRNA". It matches the Rfam family "Bacterial small subunit ribosomal RNA", at positions 8 to 796 of the family's 1533-position model. The record is from RNAcentral.
AGAGUUUGAUCAUGGCUCAGGAUGAACGCUAGCGGCAGGCUUAAUACAUGCAAGUCGUGGGGCAGCGCAGGUAGCAAUACUGGGCGGCGACCGGCAAACGGGUGCGGAACACGUACGCAACCUUCCUUUAAGUGGGGAAUAGCCCAGGGAAACUUGGAUUAAUACCCCGUAACACUGCGAUGUGGCAUCACAAUGCAGUUAAAGCUACGGCGCUUAAAGAUGGGCGUGCGGCUGAUUAGGUAGUUGGCGGAGUAACAGCCCACCAAGCCAACGAUCAGUAACUGGUGUGAGAGCACGACCAGUCACACGGGCACUGAGACACGGGCCCGACUCCUACGGGAGGCAGCAGUAAGGAAUAUUGGUCAAUGGACGCAAGUCUGAACCAGCCAUGCCGCGUGGAGGAUGAAGGCCCUCUGGGUUGUAAACUUCUUUUAUUUGGGAAGAAACCUAUCCUUUCUAGGGUAGUUGACGGUACCAGAUGAAUAAGCACCGGCUAACUCCGUGCCAGCAGCCGCGGUAAUACGGAGGGUGCAAGCGUUAUCCGGAUUCACUGGGUUUAAAGGGUGCGUAGGUGGGCAGGUAAGUCAGUGGUGAAAUCUCUGAGCUUAACUCAGAAACUGCCGUUGAUACUAUCUGUCUUGAAUGUAGUGGAGGUGAGCGGAAUAUGUCAUGUAGCGGUGAAAUGCUUAGAUAUGACAUAGAACACCAAUUGCGAAGGCAGCUCGCUACACUAUUAUUGACACUGAGGCACGAAAGCGUGGGGAUCAAGCAGGAUUAGAUACCCUAGUAGUCC